CAGGGCCAGCAGGACUCUGCAGGGAAAAUGGCAAAGACUCCCUGGGAGAGACAGCCAGCAGGAAGAGAGAAACAGGGAGGGAGGCACCAUUCUCUGACAUCUGAGCCCGUUGAGCAGCUGAGUGUGUCUGGUGGAUUCAUUACCGUCUGAGCCACCAGAGAAGCCCAGGUCUCUCAGAUCUCAUCCUAAACAGUCUACCUGUUUGCCUCCGUAUAUCUGUAAAUCAUGACUGAGACACACACACAUACACACGCACACUGGCAAAUGAUGGAGAAUAAAGUUCAGCACUCUGUUGUAAAAUU
Long non-coding RNA from Bubalus bubalis (water buffalo), 302 nucleotides. RefSeq lists it as uncharacterized. The record is from RefSeq and is a predicted model, not a curated record. The transcript has 2 exons. Lineage: Eukaryota; Metazoa; Chordata; Mammalia; Artiodactyla; Bovidae.